GGGGAAUAUUGCGCAAUGGGCGAAAGCCUGACGCAGCAAUGCCGCGUGAGGGAUGAAGGCCUUCGGGUCGUAAACCUCUGUCAGAAGGGAAGAACCGCUAGGGUGCUAAUCAGCCCUAGUCUGACGGUACCUUCAAAGGAAGCACCGGCUAACUCCGUGCCAGCAGCCGCGGUAAUACGGAGGGUGCAAGCGUUAAUCGGAAUCACUGGGCGUAAAGCGCACGUAGGCCGUUUGGUAAGUCAGAGGUGAAAGCCCGUAGCUCAACUACGGAAUUGCCUUUGAUACUGCUGGACUUGAGUUCGGGAGAGGGUAGUGGAAUUCCAGGUGUAGGAGUGAAAUCCGUAGAUAUCUGGAGGAACAUCAGUGGCGAAGGCGACUACCUGGACCGGUACUGACGCUGAGGUGCGAAAGCGUGGGGAGCAAAC
Molecule: ribosomal RNA, 425 nt
Filed under: uncultured bacterium
Lineage: Bacteria
Description: bacterial SSU rRNA
Rfam family: Bacterial small subunit ribosomal RNA
Source: RNAcentral